UCCUUCGGGGGGCCACCAGUGGGAAUCUUUCGGCAGGGCAGCAUGGUGUAAUCUGGACUAAGGGCGGGAGGCAGAACCCACUCUGGCGGGAAGACGGAUUAAGCCUGGAGGGAGGAAAUCUUUUUUAACCGGGUGGGAUAAUGCGGUCCCCAGAAAAAUAACCCCGGCUAACUUCGGCCCCCCCACCGGGGUAAUUAGGAGGGGGCCAAGCUUUUUUGGAAUUUUCGGGGGUAAAAGCGUGCGCGGGGGCCUUUUAAAUCCGAGGUUAAAACCCCGGGGUUCACCCCGGGAACUCCUUUUGAAAUUGCAGGCUUGGAGUCGGGAGGAGGGGAUGGAAUUUCCGCGGUAGGCGUGAAAUUUCUUAGAAUUGGGGAGAACCCCCUGUGGAAAGGGCGCCCCCUUGCCCCAAUUUUCACGUUGAGACGAAAAAGCGGGGGGAGAAAACAAUUUAAGAUACCCGGGUUCCCCCCCCUUAAAAACAUAAAGGUUGGUUGUGCCCCUUAGGCUCAGUGCCGCAGCUAACGCGUUAAGUCACAGCGAGUCAGAACGCGACGGUUG
Molecule: ribosomal RNA, 558 nt
Filed under: uncultured Alphaproteobacteria bacterium
Lineage: Bacteria; Pseudomonadati; Pseudomonadota; Alphaproteobacteria
Description: partial 16S ribosomal RNA
Rfam family: Bacterial small subunit ribosomal RNA
Source: RNAcentral